UACGUAGGUGGCAAGCGUUGUCCGGAAUGACUGGGCGUAAAGGGAGCGUAGGCGGCGCAACAAGUUAGGAGUGAAAUCCCGGGGCUUAACUCCGGAACUGCUUUUAAAACUGUUGUGCUUGAGUGAUGGAGAGGAAAGCGGAAUUCCUAGUGUAGCGGUGGAAUGCGUAGAUAUUAGGAGGAACACCAGAGGCGAAGGCGGCUUUCUGGACAUUAACUGACGCUGAGGCUCGAAAGCGUGGGGAGCAAACAGG
This 253-nucleotide ribosomal RNA is filed under the name uncultured bacterium. RNAcentral describes it as "partial 16S ribosomal RNA". It matches the Rfam family "Bacterial small subunit ribosomal RNA", at positions 524 to 776 of the family's 1533-position model. The record is from RNAcentral.